UGUCCAGGGGCGGGAAUCGAACCCACGACCUUCCGCUUACCGGGCAGAUGCCAUGUCCACUAGGCUACCCUAUG
RNAcentral lists this transfer RNA (74 nucleotides) under Cordylochernes scorpioides. Its description in RNAcentral is "tRNA-Thr". Lineage: Eukaryota; Metazoa; Arthropoda; Arachnida; Pseudoscorpiones; Chernetidae. The record is from RNAcentral.